RNAcentral lists this long non-coding RNA (661 nucleotides) under Populus tremula. RNAcentral describes it as "long non-coding RNA (PTRE_LNC003004)". The record is from RNAcentral. Lineage: Eukaryota; Viridiplantae; Streptophyta; Magnoliopsida; Malpighiales; Salicaceae.
AAAAAAAAUAACAACAAAAAAAAACCCUAAACCUAAAAGAUUUUUUUUCCUCUGCAGCCGUUGUACCAAGCCAGCCCCCCCCCUCACCUUUUGAAAUUUUUUUUCUCUUCUCACUCAAUCGGCCAAACAGCCCCUCCCCGGUUUGAAUCAUUCUCCAAACCCCGGCCGUUCCUUUCCCUUCUCAAUAGCAGCGCCUCCCAACUCUGUUCCCAAUUCCCAGCCAACGAAAGCCAAAAAAAGAAAGCCAUAGCCAGCCGGUGUCCCUCAGCCUUUGAAGAAAAAGAAAGCCAUAGCCGAUUCCCCAUCAUCAGAUUUUUUUUUUCUUCUUCUCAGCCACUUCACAGCCCCCCUCCCCCACCGGACUUUUGAUUUUUUUUUCCCCUUGGUUCUGAUUUUUUCAGACCACGCAGCCAUCCCAGCUCUUCUUCUCCUCCCCACUUCUCCCAACGCCAGCUCUCCUCUCACCGUUCACCAGAGAUUUCUUCCUUCACAGGCCCGGCGCCUCCUGGCUUCUCUCUCUCGGCCACGAUCUCCACCGCCUCCCGCCGCCCGUCAUUUGGGCGAACCAGCGGCGUCUCCGCAGUAGCGCCGUCCAAAGAUCCAGCAGACCCAGCUCCACAGAACCGGCUUCCACCGAGCCACACACAGCAGGCGAUCCCCC